This 818-nucleotide ribosomal RNA is filed under the name Streptomyces sp. VC-YC6636. Its description in RNAcentral is "bacterial SSU rRNA". It matches the Rfam family "Bacterial small subunit ribosomal RNA", at positions 91 to 919 of the family's 1533-position model. Lineage: Bacteria; Bacillati; Actinomycetota; Actinomycetes; Kitasatosporales; Streptomycetaceae. The record is from RNAcentral.
AUUAGUGGCGAACGGGUGAUUAACACGUGGGCAAUCUGCCCUGCACUCUGGGACAAGCCCUGGAAACGGGGUCUAAUACCGGAUACUGACCCUCGCAGGCAUCUGCGAGGUUCGAAAGCUCCGGCGGUGCAGGAUGAGCCCGCGGCCUAUCAGCUUGUUGGUGAGGUAAUGGCUCACCAAGGCGACGACGGGUAGCCGGCCUGAGAGGGCGACCGGCCACACUGGGACUGAGACACGGCCCAGACUCCUACGGGAGGCAGCAGUGGGGAAUAUUGCACAAUGGGCGAAAGCCUGAUGCAGCGACGCCGCGUGAGGGAUGACGGCCUUCGGGUUGUAAACCUCUUUCAGCAGGGAAGAAGCGAAAGUGACGGUACCUGCAGAAGAAGCGCCGGCUAACUACGUGCCAGCAGCCGCGGUAAUACGUAGGGCGCAAGCGUUGUCCGGAAUUAUUGGGCGUAAAGAGCUCGUAGGCGGCUUGUCACGUCGGUUGUGAAAGCCCGGGGCUUAACCCCGGGUCUGCAGUCGAUACGGGCAGGCUAGAGUUCGGUAGGGGAGAUCGGAAUUCCUGGUGUAGCGGUGAAAUGCGCAGAUAUCAGGAGGAACACCGGUGGCGAAGGCGGAUCUCUGGGCCGAUACUGACGCUGAGGAGCGAAAGCGUGGGGAGCGAACAGGAUUAGAUACCCUGGUAGUCCACGCCGUAAACGGUGGGCACUAGGUGUGGGCAACAUUCCACGUUGUCCGUGCCGCAGCUAACGCAUUAAGUGCCCCGCCUGGGGGAGUACGGCCCCAAGGCUAAAACUCAAAGGAAUUGACGGGGG